CUCCAGACUCCUACGGGAGGCAGCAGUGAGGAAUAUUGGUCAAUGGGCGGGAGCCUGAACCAGCCAAGCCGCGUGAAGGAAGAAGGCGCCAGGCGUCGUAAACUUCUUUUGUCGGGGAACAAAGGGCGCCACGCGUGGCGUUGUGAGUGUACCCGAAGAAAAAGCAUCGGCUAACUACGUGCCAGCAGCCGCGGUAAUACGUAGGGGGCGAGCGUUAUCCGGAUUCAUUGGGCGUAAAGCGCGCGUAGGCGGCCUGUUAGGUCGGGGGUCAAAUACCGGGGCUCAACCCCGGUCCGCCCCCGAUACCGGCAGGCUUGAGUCUGGUAGGGGAAGGCGGAAUUCCCAGUGUAGCGGUGGAAUGCGCAGAUAUUGGGAAGAACACCGGCGGCGAAGGCGGCCUUCUGGGCCACGACUGACGCUGAGGCGCGAAAGCUAGGGGAGCGAACAGGAUUAGAUACCCGAGUACG
This 467-nucleotide ribosomal RNA is filed under the name uncultured bacterium. RNAcentral describes it as "bacterial SSU rRNA". It matches the Rfam family "Bacterial small subunit ribosomal RNA", at positions 329 to 793 of the family's 1533-position model. The record is from RNAcentral.